UUUCAACGGAGAGUUUGAUCCUGGCUCAGGACGAACGCUGGCGGCGUGCUUAACACAUGCAAGUCGAGCGGUAAGGCCCUUCGGGGUACACGAGC
Molecule: ribosomal RNA, 95 nt
Filed under: Kribbella sp. VKM Ac-2568
Lineage: Bacteria; Bacillati; Actinomycetota; Actinomycetes; Propionibacteriales; Kribbellaceae
Description: partial 16S ribosomal RNA
Rfam family: Bacterial small subunit ribosomal RNA
Source: RNAcentral